UUACGUCACUUUUAUUAGACAUUUAUAUGGUUUAACGUUAGCGUAUUAACGGGGUUAAGGGAAAUAGCGUUACCGUUCCGCAAACGAACUUUAGUAUGUUGCGUAGUUCUAGUAUGUAGCGUAGUUCACGUGCGGGAAGCCAUUUCAUGACGCUUUGAAUUUCGCAUACAUCGUACUCCUGAUUGAUUCUGUCUGUGUGUGCGUCCGGAAAGUGGGAGAGGCGGCGCAAUGGGAGCGAGGGGCGCGUUGUUAUUUGUACUUUCGAUGUGCGUCGAUCUGCGGCGAAACAGUACAAGCUGUCUGCCAUAGCAUAGCCUCAGAAAUCCUCUGAUCUCAGAGGCCAUAUGCCGUCGUCGUGCCUAUUUCCUAACAUCACCGAUAGGUGGCGCUGGCGUCUCAGUUUUUCUUUCUUUCUUUUUUCUGUUAUGCUUGGUCGCGUUCGAAACGAGAAGCGACCUCGAAAAGUCAAGAUUAUUCAUUUGUCGUCGAAGCGGCCUGAAAAUAAGCGAAAGCCGUUUACACAGCCCUCUUGCCCAUCGAUCUCUACCAUGGUGUGGUAAGUGGCUCCGCCACUAGUCAACGACACGAAGCUUGACGGGGUUGCCGUCGGCGCAAACGUUCCAUUUUGAGCAACUAAAUAAGGCGUACCGAUUAUUCUCUGCAUCAUUAAACGAGUUGCAGUAAAAGGACCGAGGGAGAGGUCAAAGGCCUUCCUACAUUUGCCAAAGUAAUGACCAAAAUGCUCGAGGGAACGGCGUAAUGUUUGUUCGACGACUCGUCCCGAACCGGAGUGAGGUGGCGGUCUCCGCGGAGUCGGGAGGCCGUUCGAGACCGUCUCUAAGCAUACUUACCUGGUGCCGGGAUUACCGUGAUCAGCUAGGCGGUGUCCCCAGGGAGAGGCGCGGGCAUUGCACUGCGCUCGUGCUGACCCCUGCCACUACCCCAAACUGGGGCAGAUGGGGCAUGCAAUUUUUGGUAGUGGGGGACUGCGUUCGCGCUAUCCCCCUCCAUUCUCAAAACGCAAAAUCAGAUCUCAAAAUCGUGUACAUUGCAGAGGUGUGUUGCAGUUAUCUUGUUGGUCGUUGGAAUAUAUUGUAGAUAGUGCCCGCUCGAGGUUUCUCGAUUCAGGUUGUUGGGGCGAGGCCCUGCACACUUUGCAUUUGCAGCUACCAGGGCGCGUUCCAGCAUGACGCGCGCAAGUGGAGCUAUUGUAAUUUUGUUGCAUACCUUAAUUUGUAUUCUUUCUGCCAGGGGCUCUCACCGUGGCUAAAUAUUUGAUCCAGAAAUGUACAUAUAACGAGAAACAUAGUUAACAUGUCAUGUUUUUGCAAAAUAAGCAGACCAUUGUUUUUAUUGGACUUCUGUUAUUAAAAUCUGUGCUUUAUUACUUUCACUGACGUGUGAUAAGCAGCAGCCCACUGGUAUCGACUGCAGUCCGUGCUGUUUAUCGAUUCAAAUUUUACGGUGGUAAUAUUUGCGAAUGGGGUGGUCGUUUCCUAUGAGCAGCAUCACGCAGGUUCAUUUUAAUUAGAUUCCAAUAAUAUCUCAGCCACAUUAUGCGUCCAACAUUCAAUAGCCACCACCAAGCGAACUUGUUUAUAUCAGCUGCGGCGUUUCACUCGACUGCAUGUGUUCAAUAUUGCACUAGUGAUCUGCCACGUAAUGACGUGUUGCUUGAUAAAAAAAUGUGCUAGCUAGCGCAAAAAUUCAUCGCUGAAACCGAACAGUUUGCUUGAAGUCUACCCACGAAAGCGGAUUGACCUUGCAGCCUCUGGGCGUAUGCACUGUCUCCAAGAUGCUGCCCUUCACCCCUUUGGACUCUAUUGUGUCUAGACGUACAAGUCAACAGGGAUUGUGCCACCACUGGAAGUAACACCAAGGGCCAGAAUCCUCACAGUGAAGAUGGACAAAAGAGAGAUUAGCUGCCCAUGCCAAGUGAUAAGAAGCUGAACGGUCACCAUAAUGACAACAGGUCCUCUUGAACUAUGCGGCUCACCAUGAAAUGUUUGCAAGUUUACCAGAGAGAGGUGUGCGAGCCCUAUCAGGAAAGCAGCAGUCUACAGUUUUGUAUCAUAUGAGCGUUCCGCUCACAAGUUUACUUGAUUUUAAGAUCAUUUUAUGACAGAUGGAGAAAUAGCAUGAUGAGUCCCAACUUGUUUCUUUUCUAGUCAUUAGAGAGUUUUAGAAUAGGGGCCAAGAAAUAACAUCGAAGCCACUGUGCAUGCGCGAGACUCCAACUGUGUUUAGGUUUUGCAUCGGGCACGUUAUUUCACCGAUUUAGCGGGAGCCCCAAAAGCUGCCCUAAAACGUUUGCGUCAACAAACAUUGCGACUCCCAUCGAAGCAACAGCUCUAACCUAGCACCAAAUUGGGCUUGAUUUAUGGUAACGCGUGAAGCUCGUAAGCUAGGAGAAAAGUGACCUAGCACCAAAUUGGGCUUGAUUUAUGGUAACGCGUGAAGUUCGUAAGCUAAGAGAAAAGUGAAUGUGGUUAC
Molecule: long non-coding RNA, 2493 nt
Organism: Dermacentor silvarum
Lineage: Eukaryota; Metazoa; Arthropoda; Arachnida; Ixodida; Ixodidae
Exons: 3
Source: RefSeq, a predicted model, not a curated record